This 914-nucleotide ribosomal RNA is filed under the name uncultured marine archaeon. RNAcentral describes it as "bacterial SSU rRNA". It matches the Rfam family "Archaeal small subunit ribosomal RNA", at positions 1 to 922 of the family's 1478-position model. The record is from RNAcentral.
UUCCGGUUGAUCCUGCCGGACCUGACUGCUAUCGGAUUGAUACUAAGCCAUGCGAGUCAUUGUAGCAAUACAAGGCAUACGGCUCAGUAACGCGUAGUCAACCUAACCUAUGGACGGGAAUAACCUCGGGAAACUGAGAAUAAUGCCCGAUAGAACACUAUACCUGGAAUGGUUUGUGUUCCAAAUGAUUUAUCGCCAUAGGAUGGGCCUGCGGCCUAUCAGUUUGUUGGUGAGGUAAUGGCCCACCAAGACUAUUACAGGUACGGGCUCUGAGAGGAGUAGCCCGGAGAUGGGUACUGAGACACGGACCCAGGCCCUAUGGGGCGCAGCAGGCGAGAAAACUUUGCAAUGUGCGAAAGCACGACAAGGUUAAUCCGAGUGGUUUCUGCUAAAGAAACCUUUUGUCAGUCCUAGAAACACUGAUGAAUAAGGGGUGGGCAAGUUCUGGUGUCAGUCGCCGCGGUAAAACCAGCACCUCAAGUGGUCAGGAUGAUUAUUGGGCCUAAAGCAUCCGUAGCCGGCUCUGUAAGUUUUCGGUUAAAUCUGUACGCUCAACGUACAGGCUGCCGGGAAUACUGCAGAGCUAGGGAGUGGGAGAGGUAGACGGUACUCGGUAGGAAGGGGUAAAAUCCUUUGAUCUAUUGAUGACCACCUGUGGCGAAGGCGGUCUACCAGAACACGUCCGACGGUGAGGGAUGAAAGCUGGGGGAGCAAACCGGAUUAGAUACCCGGGUAGUCCCAGCUGUAAACUAUGCAAACUCAGUGAUGCAUUGGCUUGUGGCCAAUGCAGUGCUGCAGGGAAGCCGUUAAGUUUGCCGCCUGGGAAGUACGUACGCAAGUAUGAAACUUAAAGGAAUUGGCGGGGGAGCACCACAAGGGGUGAAGCCUGCGGUUCAAUUGGAGUCAACGCCGGG